This 320-nucleotide ribosomal RNA is filed under the name Proteus mirabilis. RNAcentral describes it as "bacterial SSU rRNA". It matches the Rfam family "Bacterial small subunit ribosomal RNA", at positions 1 to 317 of the family's 1533-position model. Lineage: Bacteria; Pseudomonadati; Pseudomonadota; Gammaproteobacteria; Enterobacterales; Morganellaceae. The record is from RNAcentral.
UAAUUGAAGAGUUUGAUCAUGGCUCAGAUUGAACGCUGGCGGCAGGCCUAACACAUGCAAGUCGAGCGGUAACAGGAGAAAGCUUGCUUUCUUGCUGACGAGCGGCGGACGGGUGAGUAAUGUAUGGGGAUCUGCCCGAUAGAGGGGGAUAACUACUGGAAACGGUGGCUAAUACCGCAUAAUGUCUACGGACCAAAGCAGGGGCUCUUCGGACCUUGCACUAUCGGAUGAACCCAUAUGGGAUUAGCUAGUAGGUGGGGUAAAGGCUCACCUAGGCGACGAUCUCUAGCUGGUCUGAGAGGAUGAUCAGCCACACUGGG